RNAcentral lists this ribosomal RNA (2978 nucleotides) under candidate division WWE3 bacterium CG_4_9_14_3_um_filter_43_9. RNAcentral describes it as "partial 23S ribosomal RNA". It matches the Rfam family "Bacterial large subunit ribosomal RNA", at positions 1616 to 2910 of the family's 2925-position model. Lineage: Bacteria; candidate division WWE3. The record is from RNAcentral.
AAUCUCUAGCGAGAACCUUUUUUAUCCGUACCUAAAACCGACACUGGUGGGUGAGUUGAGAAUACAAAGGUGAACGAGAGAACCCUUGCUAAGGAACUCGGCAAAUUAAUGGCGUAACUUCGGGAGAAGCCAUGCCCCCGCUUGGCGGGGGCCGCAGGAAAACACUCCAAGCGACUGUUUAUCAAAAACACAGGUCUCUGCUAAAUCGUAAGAUGAUGUAUAGGGGCUGACGCCUGCCCAGUACCGGUAUGUUAAAUGCGAAGGUUAUUCCGCCGAGAGGCGGGAGAAGCUUUCAAGUGAAGCACCGGUGAACGGCGGCCGUAACUAUAACGGUCCUAAGGUAGCGUAAUCCCUUGUCGGGUAAACAAUCGGAAUUUGCCCGAAUUGUACUGUAAAGUAUGAUAAGUAAACUAGCUAAUAACGGGGAAACCUUCUUCUUAAAGCUACCAUGAAUUUAAGAAAUGGUAAUCCCGUGGGAAUCCUCGCCGAUUCGGCGGGGGAACCCCUAACGACUGAGUCGAAAGACGAGAUCUCGUUUGAUUAUGAUAUAAUUUAGCCAAACGAGAUAAUACGCUAGCUCUUGCCAGAAGAAAGGUGUCAUGGAGUUUCCUUCUUUUGUAACAGGAUUUUCAGAUGGUGAAGCUUGUUUUUCUGUCUCUUUCAGUUUUAGAAAGAAACUUAAAACAGGUAUUGAAGUAAGACCAAGUUUUUGCAUUGCUCAGCACAAACGAAACUUGUCUCUUUUAAAAGAAGUACGAGAUUACUUUGAUUGUGGAAGUAUAAGAUUCAGUAAAAGAGAUCAAAAUUAUAAGUUUGAAGCUAGAAGCAUCAAAGACUUAACUGAUAAAGUAGUCCCUCAUUUUAGAAAGCAUAAACUGCAAUCUACAAAGAAAGAGGAUUUUGAAAAGUUUGACAUAAUUUGUCAGCUUAUUUCAAGUAAUCACCACCGCUCAAAAGAUUAUCUAGUUCAAAUAAUUGAACUGGCUUAUCAAAUGAAUGAGAGCGGUAAAAGAAAACAUACAAAAGAAAAGCUUCUAAAACACUUAAGCAAGAUGAAGAGAUAGUCUGAUUUUUUGUGGAAACACAAAGACAACAAAUGAAGUUCCGACCUGCAUGAAAGGCGUAACGACUUGGAGACUGUCUCAGCAAGGGACUCGGCGAAAUUGCAAUGGCCGUGAAGAUGCGGCCUCCUUGUACCAGGACAAAAAGACCCCGUGGAGCUUUACUGCAGCUUGACACUGGAUUAAGGUUUAGGAUGUGUAGCAUAGGUGGGAGCUUGUGCGUAGCACAAGAAGACUCUAUUUUCAAAUUCUAAGCACAAAAUUCGAAGUUCCAAAUAAAUAUAAAUAUCAAAGCACUAAAUAAAAAAUUAGAAUUUAGGUUUUAGAAUUUAAGCUUCAUUUGGAAUUUAGGAAUUAGAAUUUAGUGCUUUAAGUUGUAGGGUUUUCUCGCGCUGCGCGCGAGCGCCAAUGAAAUACCACCCUUUCUGAAUUUUGAUUCUUAUCCUUUUUCCGUGAAUCCGGUGAGGAGACAAUGUCUGGUAGGCAGUUUGACUGGGGCGGUCGCCUCCCAAAGAGUAACGGAGGCGCCCAAAGGUCGACUUAUCCGGGAUGGAAAUCCGGAGGUAAGCGUAAAGGUAGAAGUCGGCUUAACUGCGAGACCUACAAGUCAAGCAGGGACGAAAGUCGGGCUUAGUGAUCCUACGGUUUGCUUGUGGUAGCGCCGUAGCUUAUCGGAUAAAAGCUACCCCGGGGAUAACAGGCUGAUCUUACCCAAGAGUUCAUAUCGACGGUAAGGUUUGGCACCUCGAUGUCGGCUCGUCGCAUCCUGGGGGUGAAGUAACUCCCAAGGGUUGGGCUGUUCGCCCAUUAAAGCGGCACGUGAGCUGGGUUCAGAACGUAAAAUCAUUGCGUUCUACACCAGUAAUGGUGUAUAAUAAAUCUGACUAAUAUCGGUGAAACCCUCGAUGAGUCUACCGAACGCUCAUCAGGGCAAUACCGAGGGAAGAUAGAAGUUCUUAUGCAAGAAAAAACAAAGGCUUAUAUUGCUGGUUUUUUAGAUGGUGACGGUUGUGUGAUGUUUCAACUGGUGAAGAGAAAAGGUUAUAUUUUUGGUUUUCAAAUACGAGCAAGUGUUGUUUUUUACCAGAAAGCUGGAAAUGAGAAUUUCAUGAAUUGGUUGAAACAUAAGUUGAGAGACGGAUAUAUCAGGCAACGAAACGAUCAUAUUUUGGAAUAUACAAUUGUGGGACAUCGACCAGCAAUGAGGGUUUUAAGCUUGGUUGCGCCUUAUGUUUUUCUGAAAAGAAAACAGGUUAAGCUGGGAUUGCAACUUCUCAAACAACUUGUUGAAAAACGCGAACGAUAUACUUCGCAGGAGUUUUUAAAGUUAUGUAAACAGGUUGAUAAAAUAAGCGAAUUCAAUUAUACGAAAAAGAAAAUACAUAAUUUUCAGGAAGUAAAAAGAUAUCUAAGCGACAAAGAACUUCUUUCCCCGUAGAGACUGAUCCCCAGGCUCAUAAGCGGUUAUGAGCGUAAGGUGAGAUUAUCAUCUAGUAAUAGAGAUAAUCAUACGUCGGCCCCUAAUUGAAAAAUUUACCGCAAUAUUAGGGUGAAGAUAUAGUCCAUGCCACACGAAAGUGUUUGGAAAAUCAUGCGUGAGACAGUUCGGUCUCUAUCCGGUACAAGCGUUAGAUUCUUGAAGAGGGCUGUCUCUAGUACGAGAGGACCGAGAUGGACGAACCUCUGGUGUACCAGUUGUCCUGCCAAGGGCAUCGCUGGGUAGCUACGUUCGGUUGGGAUAAACGCUGAAAGCAUCUAAGUGUGAAGCCCACUCUAAGAUGAGGAAUCUUAAUACCCGCCGCAAGGCGGGCGAGACUCCAGGAAGACUACCUGGUAAAAUAGUCCGGCAUAUGCCGGGACGGAUAGGCGGUCGGUGUAAGUGCAGUAAUGCAUUCAGCCAAGCCGUACUAAUAAGUC